This 466-nucleotide ribosomal RNA is filed under the name uncultured bacterium. RNAcentral's name for it is "partial 16S ribosomal RNA". It matches the Rfam family "Bacterial small subunit ribosomal RNA", at positions 28 to 507 of the family's 1533-position model. The record is from RNAcentral.
GAUGAACGCUGGCGGCGUGCUUAACACAUGCAAGUCGAACGAUGAAGCCCAGCUUGCUGGGUGGAUUAGUGGCGAACGGGUGAGUAACACGUGAGUAACCUGCCCUUAACUCUGGGAUAAGCCGGGGAAACUGGGUCUAAUACCGGAUAGGAGCGUCCACCGCAUGGUGGGUGUUGGAAAGAUUUAUCGGUUUUGGAUGGACUCGCGGCCUAUCAGCUUGUUGGUGAGGUAAUGGCUCACCAAGGCGACGACGGGUAGCCGGCCUGAGAGGGUGACCGGCCACACUGGGACUGAGACACGGCCCAGACUCAUACGGGAGGCAGCAGUGGGGAAUAUUGCACAAUGGGCGCAAGCCUGAUGCAGCGACGCCGCGUGAGGGAUGACGGCCUUCGGGUUGUAAACCUCUUUCAGUAGGGAAGAAGCGAAAGUGACGGUACCUGCAGAAGAAGCACCGGCUAACUACGUG